GUAGUCAGCAAUGCAUUGAAAGUUUAACGGCCGUCAAGCUUGUCCUUACUGCUCACUACACAGAUUUAUGCUGCUUUUUCUUAUUAACUCCUAUGUUUGUAUCCGCCCAGAACCAGAUUGUUCUGGGCUUUUUUUA
This 136-nucleotide antisense RNA is filed under the name Vibrio proteolyticus NBRC 13287. RNAcentral's name for it is "Vibrio regulatory RNA of OmpA". It matches the Rfam family "Vibrio regulatory RNA of OmpA". The record is from Rfam by way of RNAcentral. Lineage: Bacteria; Pseudomonadati; Pseudomonadota; Gammaproteobacteria; Vibrionales; Vibrionaceae.